Molecule: long non-coding RNA, 1185 nt
Filed under: Salvator merianae (Argentine black and white tegu)
Lineage: Eukaryota; Metazoa; Chordata; Lepidosauria; Squamata; Teiidae
Description: lncRNA (ENSSMRG00000013327.1)
Source: RNAcentral
UCACUUAGAGUUUUAGUUUAGUUUUAUUGAGACUUUCCCUGAGACCUUGGAGCAUAUGGUGGGAUGGGAGUACAAAUAAACAAACAAACCCAGCGUGAAUCUAAGCAGGCAGCCCUGUUGCUUAGCAGAAACAAACUCUGAGGCCACAGACCAGAAGUCCGCUUGUUCUGAAGCAGCGCCUGCUGCCCAAUCUUCCGCUCCUGCCCCAGUUUCAGUUUUAGUAAGCCUGUACAAACCAGCCUGGCAAGGUGCCCAACCCGCAGAUGCCUGAUGCCCGUUUGUUUGCGUGCAGGGCAUGGAAAGGAAGCCAAAGCCAGAGGUGGACUACGCCAGCAGAGAGCAAGGGAGCUGCGCUGGGAGCGACAAGAGCUUGGACAGAGUGAACGAUGGAGCAGGGGACAGACCAGGCAGAGGUUCCUUUCCGCACCCAAUUCUAAUGGCGGGAAUUGUCUUUUCCAGGGAGAGGGCGAUAAAGAUGGAAGGCUUGCUGAAGAAGGUGCUAGCAGAGAACCAGCAGCUGAAAAGUGCUGUCCUCUUCCUGAAGCAGCAGAGCAAAGAGAAGGACACUGAUGUGGACAACUGCAGGAGGUCCAAAGAGAAACUUCUGUCAGAAAUCGGCUCCCUCUUGACAGAAAUUGCCUUUCUGAAGGAGGUACGAGAGCAGCUGAGGUACAAGGACCCAGAAUCCAGGAAGGAAACCACCAAGGCCCUUACGGAAACCAUCCAAGCCAAGCUGGAGGUGGCUCACGCGAAGAUCGAGGCGGCGGAGGCCAAGAAGGAGACCUUGGAGGCCCAGAGGAGGGCCGAGGAGGCCAAGGAGUCGGCGGAAGCCGCUCAAGCCCGGGAGGACAGCCUCUUGUCCUACGUCUCCAAAAUCGCCACCCUGGCCUACCAGCAGGCUGCCGAGGCCGAGUAUGACUGCGCCCAGGCCCGGAAGGCGAUGGCCGCGGCAGAGGCCAUCAACGUGGCUGCCUUCAGCGAUGCCCGAGGGCACCGCGGCCACAAGCUCCAGCACGAGAAGCACCACCGGAGCUCCCGGAGCAGCCACAGCGACUGCCGGUGUCACCACCACCACGGCCACCACCACGGCCACCACCACGAGCACCGCAGCCACUACGAGACCCAGAGCAACCAGGCCCACUCCGACCUGGAGACCCUGAGCAGCACCCGAUGAGGGCGGGAGGG